This 89-nucleotide unclassified non-coding RNA is filed under the name Pseudomonas moraviensis. Lineage: Bacteria; Pseudomonadati; Pseudomonadota; Gammaproteobacteria; Pseudomonadales; Pseudomonadaceae. The record is from RNAcentral. RNAcentral also lists the same sequence under 1 other name.
UGUAGGAGUGAGCCUGCUCGCGAUAGCGGUAUGUCAGUCACACAUGAAUCAACUGACAGAUUGCUAUCGCGAGCAGGCUCACUCCUACA